Molecule: ribosomal RNA, 253 nt
Filed under: uncultured bacterium
Lineage: Bacteria
Description: partial 16S ribosomal RNA
Rfam family: Bacterial small subunit ribosomal RNA
Source: RNAcentral
UACGUAGGGGGCAAGCGUUGUCCGGAAUCAUUGGGCGUAAAGCGCGUGUAGGCGGCCAGAUAAGUCCGCUGUGAAAACUCGAGGCUCAACUUCGAGCUGUCGGUGGAAACUUUCUGGCUAGAGUCCGGAAGAGGAGAAUGGAAUUCCUGGUGUAGCGGUGAAAUGCGCAGAUAUCGGGAGGAACACCAAUGGCGAAGGCAGCUCGCUGGGAUGUGACUGACGCUCAUGUACGAAAGCGUGGGGAGCAAACAGG